This 253-nucleotide ribosomal RNA is filed under the name uncultured bacterium. Its description in RNAcentral is "partial 16S ribosomal RNA". It matches the Rfam family "Bacterial small subunit ribosomal RNA", at positions 524 to 776 of the family's 1533-position model. The record is from RNAcentral.
UACAGAGGGGGCAAGCGUUGUCCGGAAUUAUUGGGCGUAAAGAGCUCGUAGGCGGUUUGUCGCGUCUGCUGUGAAAACCCGAGGCUCAACCUCGGGCCUGCAGUGGGUACGGGCAGACUAGAGUGCGGUAGGGGAGAUUGGAAUUCCUGGUGUAGCGGUGGAAUGCGCAGAUAUCAGGAGGAACACCGGUGGCGAAGGCGGGUCUCUGGGCCGAUACUGACGCUGAGGAGCGAAAGCGUGGGGAGCGAACAGG